GGGCCCGCACAAGCGGUGGAGUAUGUGGUUUAAUUCGAUGCAACGCGAAGAACCUUACCAGGGUUUGACAUCCUGCGAAUCUCUUGGAAACGAGAGAGUGCCUUCGGGAACGCAGUGACAGGUGGUGCAUGGCUGUCGUCAGCUCGUGUCGUGAGAUGUUGGGUUAAGUCCCGCAACGAGCGCAACCCUUGUCCUUAGUUGCCAGCCUUAAGUUGGGCACUCUAGAGAGACCGCCGGUGAUAAACCGGAGGAAGGUGUGGAUGACGUCAAGUCAUCAUGCCCCUUACAUCCUGGGCUACACACGUACUACAAUGCUACGGACAAAGAGCAGCAAGUUCGCGAGGACAAGCAAAUCUCAUAAACCGUGGCUCAGUUCAGAUCGUAGGCUGCAACUCGCCUACGUGAAGGAGGAAUCGCUAGUAAUCGCAGGUC
RNAcentral lists this ribosomal RNA (432 nucleotides) under uncultured bacterium. Its description in RNAcentral is "bacterial SSU rRNA". It matches the Rfam family "Bacterial small subunit ribosomal RNA", at positions 917 to 1350 of the family's 1533-position model. The record is from RNAcentral.